UUCGGGGAACGAUAACGGCGUCGAGCGGCGGACGGGUGAGUAAUGCCUAGGAAAUUGCCUUGAUGUGGGGGAUAACCAUUGGAAACGAUGGCUAAUACCGCAUAAUGCCUACGGGCCAAAGAGGGGGACCUUCGGGCCUCUCGCGUCAAGAUAUGCCUAGGUGGGAUUAGCUAGUUGGUGAGGUAAUGGCUCACCAAGGCGACGAUCCCUAGCUGGUCUGAGAGGAUGAUCAGCCACACUGGAACUGAGACACGGUCCAGACUCCUACGGGAGGCAGCAGUGGGGAAUAUUGCACAAUGGGCGAAAGCCUGAUGCAGCCAUGCCGCGUGUAUGAAGAAGGCCUUCGGGUUGUAAAGUACUUUCAGUUGUGAGGAAGGGGGUGUCGUUAAUAGCGGCAUCUCUUGACGUUAGCAACAGAAGAAGCACCGGCUAACUCCGUGCCAGCAGCCGCGGUAAUACGGAGGGUGCGAGCGUUAAUCGGAAUUACUGGGCGUAAAGC
RNAcentral lists this ribosomal RNA (499 nucleotides) under Vibrio sp. RNAcentral describes it as "bacterial SSU rRNA". It matches the Rfam family "Bacterial small subunit ribosomal RNA", at positions 79 to 566 of the family's 1533-position model. The record is from RNAcentral. Lineage: Bacteria; Pseudomonadati; Pseudomonadota; Gammaproteobacteria; Vibrionales; Vibrionaceae.